GUGGGGUAAAAGCCUACCAAGGCGACGAUCAGUAGCUGGUCUGAGAGGAUGAUCAGCCACACUGGGACUGAGACACGGCCCAGACUCCUACGGGAGGCAGCAGUAGGGAAUAUUGGACAAUGGGCGAAAGCCUGAUCCAGCCAUGCCGCGUGAGUGAUGAAGGCCCUAGGGUUGUAAAGCUCUUUAGCCCGCGAAUAAAAUGACUGUAGCGGGAGAAUAAGCCCCGGCUAACUUCGUGCCAGCAGCCGCGGUAAUACGAAGGGGGCGAGCGUUGUUCGGAAUUACUGGGCGUAAAGCGUGCGUAGGCGGUUAUGAAAGUUGGGAGUGAAAUCCCCGGGCUCAACCUGGGAAUUGCUUUCAAAACUUCAUGACUAGAAUUCGGGAGAGGAUAGCGGAAUAUCCAGUGUAGAGGUGAAAUUCGUAGAUAUAGGAUGGAACACCAGUGGCGAAAGCGGCUAUCUGGACCGACAUUGACGCUGAGGC
RNAcentral lists this ribosomal RNA (483 nucleotides) under uncultured Alphaproteobacteria bacterium. RNAcentral's name for it is "bacterial SSU rRNA". It matches the Rfam family "Bacterial small subunit ribosomal RNA", at positions 252 to 752 of the family's 1533-position model. Lineage: Bacteria; Pseudomonadati; Pseudomonadota; Alphaproteobacteria. The record is from RNAcentral.